Long non-coding RNA from Lycium barbarum (goji berry), 438 nucleotides. RefSeq lists it as uncharacterized. The transcript is spliced from 2 exons. The record is from RefSeq and is a predicted model, not a curated record. NCBI's taxonomy places the organism in Eukaryota, Viridiplantae, Streptophyta, Magnoliopsida, Solanales, Solanaceae.
AAAGAAAUUGCUUCUAGCUAUCUGCCUAUCCCUUAAUCAUAGAAAAUGGAGAUCAGAGUCCUUUCUUUCAUGGCUAAGAAAAUCAUAAGGAGUGCUAUACUGAGUGCUAUAUUCAUUCUCUUGCUUCUCUCUGUUGUGGUUGUGGCAAGAGGAGGUGAUGAUGAAACUGCGCCAGCGUGCCAAGGAAAAUGCGAGGAGUUUGCAGAUUGUGAUGAAUUUUGCAAAAGAAUAGGAUUUAGUUCUGGCCAAUGUAUUCCACCCCUUGAGCAAUUCUGUUGCUGUGAUCCAUAAAAAUAGAUUUUAUGGUUUUAUGUUGCUCUCAAUAAGUAUGUAAUUUUGUUUUGUUCGUGGUAUUUUUCGUUGAAUUUAAUUGAUAAUUCUUAUUAACUCAUAUUUUAUCCAUUUUCUCUGUUUAUCAUAAAUUUGACACUUUGUGUU